CCUACGGGAGGCAGCAGUGAGGAAUAUUGGUCAAUGGACGAAAGUCUGAACCAGCCAUGCCGCGUGCAGGAUGACGGCUCUAUGAGUUGUAAACUGCUUUUGUAUUAGGGUAAACACCCCUACGUGUAGGGUCUUGAAAGUAUAAUACGAAUACGGAUCGGCUAAAUCUGUGCCAGCAGCCGCGGUAAUACGGAGGAUCCAGGCGUUAUCAGGUGUUAUUGGGUAUAAAGGGUGCGUAGGCGGUAUGUCAAGACAAGGGUGAAAUCCCCGCGCUCAACAUGGGAACUGCCUUUGAAACUGGCAAACUGGAGUGUGUGAGAGGAUAGUGGAAUUCCAGGUGUAGGAGUGAAAUCCGUAGAUAUCAGGAGGAACAUCAGUGGCGAAGGCGACUAUCUGGCACAUAACUGACGCUGAGGAGCGAAAGCGUAGGUAGCAAACAGGAUUAGAUACCCGUGUAGUC
Molecule: ribosomal RNA, 460 nt
Filed under: uncultured bacterium
Lineage: Bacteria
Description: partial 16S ribosomal RNA
Rfam family: Bacterial small subunit ribosomal RNA
Source: RNAcentral